GAUGAACGCUGGCGGCGCGCCUAACACAUGCAAGUCGAACGGUUAAAGCACCUUUUUGGUGUGUAUAAGGUGGCGAACGGCUGAGGAACACGUGGGCAACCUGCCCUCCUCUUGGGGAUAGCCUCGGGAAACCGAGGAUAAUACCCGAAACUUCAAUGUGGCCGCAUGACGACGUUGAGAAAGCUUUUGCGGGGAGGGAUGGGCCCGCGGCCUGUUAGCUUGUUGGUGGGGUAGAGGCCUACCAAGGCAAUGAUGGGUAGCCGGGUUGAGAGACCGACCAGGCAGAUUGGGACUUGGAAACGGCCCAGACUUCUACGGGAGGGAGGAGGGGGGAAUCUUGCAAAAUGGGCGAAAGCCUGAUGCAGCGACGCCGCGUGCGGGACGAAGGCCUUCGGGUUGGAAACCGCUUUCAGCAGGGACGAGGCGAUAAGUGACGGUACCUGCAGAAGAAGCCCCGGCUAACUACGUG
Molecule: ribosomal RNA, 469 nt
Filed under: uncultured bacterium
Lineage: Bacteria
Description: partial 16S ribosomal RNA
Rfam family: Bacterial small subunit ribosomal RNA
Source: RNAcentral